This 253-nucleotide ribosomal RNA is filed under the name uncultured bacterium. RNAcentral describes it as "partial 16S ribosomal RNA". It matches the Rfam family "Bacterial small subunit ribosomal RNA", at positions 524 to 776 of the family's 1533-position model. The record is from RNAcentral.
UACGUAGGGACCGAGCGUUGUCCGGAAUCAUUGGGCGUAAAGAGCGUGCAGGCGGCCUUUUAAGUCCUGCGUGAAAUCCUGCGGCUCAACCGCAGACGGUCGUGGGAAACUGGAAGGCUAGAGUGCGGGAGAGGAGAGUGGAAUUCCCGGUGUAGCGGUGAAAUGCGCAGAUAUCAGGAGGAACACCGAUGGCGAAGGCAGGUCUCUGGGCCACUACUGACGCUGAGAAGCGAAAGCAUGGGGAGCGAACAGG